Molecule: non-coding RNA, 87 nt
Organism: Caerostris darwini
Lineage: Eukaryota; Metazoa; Arthropoda; Arachnida; Araneae; Araneidae
Source: the annotation of a GenBank genome assembly
CCUACCGGUUCUCGUUAGAACACAGAAGUCAAGCAUCAUUGGGCGCGGUCAGUACUUGGGUGGGUGACCACCUGGGAACACCGCGUG